RNAcentral lists this ribosomal RNA (563 nucleotides) under uncultured archaeon. RNAcentral describes it as "bacterial SSU rRNA". It matches the Rfam family "Archaeal small subunit ribosomal RNA", at positions 313 to 879 of the family's 1478-position model. The record is from RNAcentral.
GCGAUUCGCCCUUCGGGGUGCCCAGGCGCGAAACCUCUGCAAUAGGCGAAAGCUUGACAGGGUUACUCUGAGUGAUGUCCGCUAAGGGCAUCUUUUGGCACCUCUAAAAAUGGUGCAGAAUAAGGGGUGGGCAAGUCUGGUGUCAGCCGCCGCGGUAAUACCAGCACCCCGAGUGGUCGGGACGAUUAUUGGGCCUAAAGCAUCCGUAGCUUGUCCUGCAAGUCUUCCGUUAAAUCCACCUGCUCAACAGAUGGGCUGCGGGGGAUACUACAGGGCUAGGAGGCGGAGAGGCAAACGGUACUCAGUGGGUAGGGGUAAAAUCCACUGAUCCACUGAAGACCACCAGUGGCGAAGGCGGUUUGCCAGAACGCGCUCGACGGUGAGGGAUGAAAGCUGGGGGAGCAAACCGGAUUAGAUACCCGGGUAGUCCCAGCUGUAAACGAUGCAGACUCGGUGAAUGGGUUGGCUUUGAGCCAACCCANUGCCGCAGGGAAGCCGUUAAGUCUGCCGCCUGGGGAGUACGGUCGCAAGACUGAAACUUAAAGGAAUUGUCGGGGGAGCAC